AUACGGAUUCCCUAGUAGCGGCGAGCGAAGCGGGAAGAGCUCAAAUUUAUAAUCUGGCACCUUCGGUGUCCGAGUUGUAAUCUCUAGAAAUGUUUUCCGCGUUGGACCGCACACAAGUCUGUUGGAAUACAGCGGCAUAGUGGUGAGACCCCCGUAUAUGGUGCGGACGCCCAGCGCUUUGUGAUACAUUUUCGAAGAGUCGAGUUGUUUGGGAAUGCAGCUCAAAUUGGGUGGUAAAUUCCAUCUAAAGCUAAAUAUUGGCGAGAGACCGAUAGCGAACAAGUACCGUGAGGGAAAGAUGAAAAGCACUUUGGAAAGAGAGUUAACAGUACGUGAAAUUGUUGGAAGGGAAACGCUUGAAGUCAGACUUGCUUGCCGAGCAAUCGGUUUGCAGGCCAGCAUCAGUUUUCCGGGAUGGAUAAUGGUAGAGAGAAGGUAGCAGUUUCGGCUGUGUUAUAGCUCUCUGCUGGAUACAUCUUGGGGGACUGAGGAACGCAGUGUGCCUUUUGGCGGGGGUUUCGACCUCUUCACACUUAGGAUGCUGGUGGAAUGGCUUUAAACGACCCGUCUAAAAACCCGGGACCC
RNAcentral lists this ribosomal RNA (585 nucleotides) under Rhodotorula mucilaginosa. RNAcentral's name for it is "partial large subunit ribosomal RNA". It matches the Rfam family "Eukaryotic large subunit ribosomal RNA", at positions 68 to 664 of the family's 3401-position model. Lineage: Eukaryota; Fungi; Basidiomycota; Microbotryomycetes; Sporidiobolales; Sporidiobolaceae. The record is from RNAcentral.